RNAcentral lists this transfer RNA (74 nucleotides) under Bacteroidia bacterium. Its description in RNAcentral is "tRNA-Gln". It matches the Rfam family "tRNA". From Rfam's summary of the family: Transfer RNA (tRNA) molecules are approximately 80 nucleotides in length. The record is from RNAcentral. Lineage: Bacteria; Pseudomonadati; Bacteroidota; Bacteroidia.
UGACCGAUGGUGUAAUGGUAGCACUACAGUUUUUGGAGCUGUCUGUCUAGGUUCGAAUCCUAGUCGGUCAACCA